This 67-nucleotide transfer RNA is filed under the name Ictidomys tridecemlineatus (thirteen-lined ground squirrel). RNAcentral describes it as "Spermophilus tridecemlineatus (thirteen-lined ground squirrel) tRNA". It matches the Rfam family "tRNA". From Rfam's summary of the family: Transfer RNA (tRNA) molecules are approximately 80 nucleotides in length. Their secondary structure includes four short double-helical elements and three loops (D, anti-codon, and T loops). Further hydrogen bonds mediate the characteristic L-shaped molecular structure. tRNAs have two regions of fundamental functional importance: the anti-codon, which is responsible for specific mRNA codon recognition, and the 3' end, to which the tRNAs corresponding amino acid is attached (by aminoacyl-tRNA synthetases). tRNAs cope with the degeneracy of the genetic code in two manners: having more than one tRNA (with a specific anti-codon) for a particular amino acid; and 'wobble' base-pairing, i.e. permitting non-standard base-pairing at the 3rd anti-codon position. RNAcentral also lists the same sequence under 1 other name. Lineage: Eukaryota; Metazoa; Chordata; Mammalia; Rodentia; Sciuridae. The record is from Rfam by way of RNAcentral.
GUGGAUGUGGCUCAAAGAACAUGCGUUUAGCAUAUGCAAAGCCCUGGGUUCAAUCCCCAGCACCACA